This 65-nucleotide transfer RNA is filed under the name uncultured Catonella sp. It matches the Rfam family "tRNA", at positions 5 to 66 of the family's 71-position model. Rfam says of the family: Transfer RNA (tRNA) molecules are approximately 80 nucleotides in length. Their secondary structure includes four short double-helical elements and three loops (D, anti-codon, and T loops). Further hydrogen bonds mediate the characteristic L-shaped molecular structure. tRNAs have two regions of fundamental functional importance: the anti-codon, which is responsible for specific mRNA codon recognition, and the 3' end, to which the tRNAs corresponding amino acid is attached (by aminoacyl-tRNA synthetases). tRNAs cope with the degeneracy of the genetic code in two manners: having more than one tRNA (with a specific anti-codon) for a particular amino acid; and 'wobble' base-pairing, i.e. permitting non-standard base-pairing at the 3rd anti-codon position. Lineage: Bacteria; Bacillati; Bacillota; Clostridia; Lachnospirales; Lachnospiraceae. The record is from RNAcentral.
GCCAUAGCCAAGCGGUUAAGGCACAGGACUUUGACUCCUGCAUUCGACGGUUCAAAUCCGGCUGG